Molecule: ribosomal RNA, 408 nt
Filed under: uncultured bacterium
Lineage: Bacteria
Description: bacterial SSU rRNA
Rfam family: Bacterial small subunit ribosomal RNA
Source: RNAcentral
GUGGGGAAUAUUGCACAAUGGGCGCAAGCCUGAUGCAGCAACGCCGCGUGAGGGACGACGGCCUUCGGGUUGUAAACCUCUUUUGGCAGGGAAGAAGCGAAAGUGACGGUACCUGCAGAAAAAGCACCGGCUAACUACGUGCCAGCAGCCGCGGUGAUACGUAGGGUGCAAGCGUUGUCCGGAAUUAUUGGGCGUAAAGAGCUCGUAGGCGGUCUGUCGCGUCUGCUGUGAAAACCCGAGGCUCAACCUCGGGCCUGCAGUGGGUACGGGCAAACUAGAGUGCGGUAGGGGAGAUUUGAAUUCCUGGUGUAGCGGUGGAAUGCGCAGAUAUCAGGAGGAACACCGAUGGCGAAGGCAGAUCUCUGGGCCGUAACUGACGCUGAGGAGCGAAAGCAUGGGGAGCGAACA